UGCUGGGAUGGCAGAGCUCGGUAAUUGCAAAAGGCCUAAGCCCUUUCACCCAAAGGUUCAAAUCCUUUUCCCAGUUU
Danio rerio (zebrafish) is the source of this 77-nucleotide non-coding RNA. The record is from Ensembl. Lineage: Eukaryota; Metazoa; Chordata; Actinopteri; Cypriniformes; Danionidae.